UGUACUUUUGCGUAGGAAAUUUUCAAACUAUUAAACUGGUUUCUCUUUUAGGUGUUUGAGAGGGAGUGUCAAACUAAAUGUGACCGGUUGAUGUCAGAUAAGGAAAACAGUUUGCAGAAAAAGAAAGGAGCUGAGGAAGACUCACUUGCUGCUGUAACAAAGCAUGUAAGCAAAGCAAGAGUUUAUCGUGGAACUUAUUAGCUGGUUGAAGGUUUCAGAGGGACUUGAGAAAUUCUGUUGAACAGGAGAACAUUUGGGAGAAGAUCAUGUGUAGGAGCUUUCUCUUCAUAAUUCUGACUUCAUGUGUCUGCGAAAUGUCGGAUAAUCAUAACAAGGAUCUGUACUAUCAGGCUGAAGAAAAUCGUGACAUCACAGUAGAAUGGACGUUUACAACCAAAGUUAGCAUCACCAUUUCAUCGCUUAAGAUCCACUGC
Long non-coding RNA from Oreochromis niloticus (Nile tilapia), 434 nucleotides. RefSeq lists it as uncharacterized. The transcript has 3 exons. The record is from RefSeq and is a predicted model, not a curated record. Lineage: Eukaryota; Metazoa; Chordata; Actinopteri; Cichliformes; Cichlidae.